GACGAACCGUGCGAACGUUGUUCGGAAUCACUGGGCUUAAAGGGCGCGUAGGCGGGUGACCAAGUCAGGGGUGAAAUCUUUCGGCUCAACCGGAAAACAGCUUUUGAUACUGGUCGUCUGGAGGGAGGUAGGGGCAUGUGGAACUUCCGGUGGAGCGGUGAAAUGUGUUGAUAUCGGAAGGAACGCCGGUGGCGAAAGCGACGUGCUGGACCUCUUCUGACGCUGAGGCGCGAAAGCUAGGGUAGCGAACGGG
This 253-nucleotide ribosomal RNA is filed under the name uncultured bacterium. RNAcentral describes it as "partial 16S ribosomal RNA". It matches the Rfam family "Bacterial small subunit ribosomal RNA", at positions 524 to 776 of the family's 1533-position model. The record is from RNAcentral.